Molecule: transfer RNA, 74 nt
Filed under: Propionibacteriaceae bacterium
Lineage: Bacteria; Bacillati; Actinomycetota; Actinomycetes; Propionibacteriales; Propionibacteriaceae
Description: tRNA-Arg
Rfam family: tRNA
About the family: Transfer RNA (tRNA) molecules are approximately 80 nucleotides in length. Their secondary structure includes four short double-helical elements and three loops (D, anti-codon, and T loops).
Source: RNAcentral
GCCCCUAUAGCUCAGCUGGAUAGAGCACCGGACUUCUAAUCCGACGGUCGCAGGUUCGAAUCCUGCUGGGGGCG